This 592-nucleotide long non-coding RNA is filed under the name Mytilus galloprovincialis (Mediterranean mussel). The record is from RNAcentral. Lineage: Eukaryota; Metazoa; Mollusca; Bivalvia; Mytilida; Mytilidae.
GUCAACUUUAAUCAAUCAUAAGAUAUUUAUUUUUUGUACAACAAAUCCUUUUGUCAUGAAACUUUUGUUUACUUAAGUUGGUGAUAGGUAUUUUUCAAGACUGGUGUAAAGCUUUAAUACUAUUUUGUUGGCUUUGGUGCUAUCCUAUAGUGUGCUAUGUGAUUAAGUGUAGUAGCUUACAUUUUGCAUGUGAAAUUAAAAUAUGAUCAAACAUAUGGUAGUAUUUAUUUAAGGAAUGACUGUUAUAUUUUUUCUGUCUAUGAAGAAAUAACAUAAAAAAUGUGGUGCACACUGAAUGACGUGCGUAGCGGGUUAUUUAACAGUGUGCACCACAUUUUUUAUGUUAUUUCGAAUAGACAGAACAAAUACUUAUAAUUUAAUUCUAAAUUCCAUUUUAAAUCGGCGUAAAUCAAGAAAAAACGUUGAUGACGUCAUGGUCACAUGACCAUAUUGUGUCUAUGAUAUGAAAAACAAAAUGACGUCAGCUAAUCAGAAGACGUGUUACAUCCAAAAUUAAAUUAUAAUGUUAUAUCUUCCUAUUAGAUACUUAUUAUUACUUAAAUUCAUAUCAAAUAAACAUAUUGUAUGAAGG